Molecule: ribosomal RNA, 111 nt
Filed under: Bacteroides fragilis
Lineage: Bacteria; Pseudomonadati; Bacteroidota; Bacteroidia; Bacteroidales; Bacteroidaceae
Also listed under: 1 other name
Source: RNAcentral
UCAGGUGACUAUAGCAUCAGGGUUCCACCUCUUCCCAUUCCGAACAGAGAAGUUAAGCCUGAUCACGCCGAUGGUACUGCAUAACAGUGGGAGAGUAGGUAGUCGCCGUUU